CUUGCACCAGAUUCAAGAAUUCCUUUCUGUGAGCAUCCACAUAACUCGCCCCAACACACUUCCCUUUAAAGGCCGUCUUAAACAGUUCCCAAGUUACCCUUUCAGCCGGGAUCCCUUCUCUCAUAGUGAGCCACCAUUGAUAAGCCUCGCCCCGCAACAACAAUAUGGCUCCCUUCAACUUCUGCUCCACAGAGCAGUCCAAGUCAUCCAUAAUUCAUUCUGUGGCCUCCAACCAAUAUUCC
Molecule: long non-coding RNA, 242 nt
Filed under: Gossypium barbadense (sea-island cotton)
Lineage: Eukaryota; Viridiplantae; Streptophyta; Magnoliopsida; Malvales; Malvaceae
Description: long non-coding RNA (GBAR_LNC004325)
Source: RNAcentral